GCGGUACCGGUUCACGCCCGCGGCCACAGGCAGGCGGCAAGGCGACCCGGCGACC
RNAcentral lists this non-coding RNA (55 nucleotides) under unclassified sequences. RNAcentral describes it as "L31-Actinobacteria ribosomal protein leader". It matches the Rfam family "L31-Actinobacteria ribosomal protein leader". The record is from RNAcentral.